Non-coding RNA from Streptomyces sp. 13-12-16, 75 nucleotides. NCBI's taxonomy places the organism in Bacteria, Bacillati, Actinomycetota, Actinomycetes, Kitasatosporales, Streptomycetaceae. The record is from Rfam.
CUUGAUCGAUCCCAGCCACAGCGGCCUGCCGUCGGGGCGGUCCUGCCCGUAGGUGGCCAGCAGGGCCUGCGCCUC